Molecule: long non-coding RNA, 961 nt
Organism: Frankliniella occidentalis (western flower thrips)
Lineage: Eukaryota; Metazoa; Arthropoda; Insecta; Thysanoptera; Thripidae
Exons: 4
Source: RefSeq, a predicted model, not a curated record
CCAGGCUGGGCCGCCGAGCCCAGCCGAGCCCUUCCGAGAAGCCCCCCGGUCGCGGACGCAAGGCGCCGCGCCGCCAGCUGAGGCUGAUAUAUUUUUAUUCAUGGACUCCAAAGAAGAGAGCGGCCACAUCCUCUGCGGUGAAGGCGUCCAGCCUUCCUUUGCACGGGCCCUACGUCUCAACGGGCUCAUCAUGGGGAACCCCUUUCCACGACCUCAGCCGAGCUGACCUCGCCAGAACCGACCGCCACCACCCAACACAACUCUCCGCGCUUGGAACACCCCUGGACUUGGGAUACAUUAAGGUUUCGCCAAGCUUCAAGUCUAGAUUACCUCUACAAAGUGCGAAGUCGAAGCAGUCGAAGGUUCAACUUACGAUAUGUCACCACCAGAACAUCUUCAGGAACUUUUGCAAGUCACCGAGUCCAAUCAGUGUACUUUUGGACGCCACCGUCCAUCACCACCCAACGCAGCACACCCUCUCAUCUCUCCCCGGCCACGGCGACCAGCAUCACCGACACACGGCCACAACACGCAUUGUUUCGGCUCGCCACGCCGCAUCAAGCGCCUGUCUGUCGCCCGCCUGCCAAAAAUGAUACAGUCGGCCUCCCGGGAACUGAGCGGUCUGUUCGGCCGGCUGGCCUGCCGACCCACAGCCGCAGGUUGCGGGUGUGAUGAACGCACUGCGACCGUACUGCUGUCGUCCGGUGACUCGGUCCCCUGGCUCAUCACACGUGCCUGACUGCGUGCUGCGCUAUUUGCUGUACUUCCCGCCACGACACGCCGCUCCUUGUUUGGACCGCGGCGCGGACGGACGCGGGGCGGGGCAAGCUCCAUCAGAGAGAUUGGACGGGAACACGCCGCUCUUCAACCCCAAGCGGAUGCGUCCGUAUUCACCCUCCGCGCAUUCACCACCUUCUGCUCGAAAAGCCCACGCAAUAAAUAAAACAAACGGAUUGUUAUU